AGAUUAUUAAUUUAUUAAUUAUUUUUGAUUUAAUUAAUUUUAAAAAUAAAAUUAAUUUUAACUUUUAAUUAUUUAAGUAUUUUAUAAAGAAUAAAUUUAUAUAAUUAUAUAUUAUUAGUAAUGUAAAUUAAUAUUGAAAUAUAAUGAAAUAUAAAAUUUAUUAAAAGUAAAUUUAUUUUAUUUUACCUUUUGUAUCAGGGUAUAUUUAAUUAAUUAUAUAAAAUUAUAUAUUUCUCGAUUUUAAAAGAGUUAAUUAAUUAUGUUAGUUAUUGUAAUAUAAAUAUUAAUAAUAUUUUAUUAGAGAUGAAAUGUCAAUCGUUUUUAAAUAUAUCUAGUUUUUUUAGAAAUGAAUUUAAUUCAGAAAUUAAUUUUUUAAAUUUAAUUUUAAAAUUUAAAUUAAUUUAAUUUUAAUAAUUUAAGGGUUUAUCUUUAAAUUAAUAUUUAAAAUUUAUUUUUGGUGUUAUAAAAUUUAUAAAUUUAGUAAUAGUUAAUAAAUAAAAAUUGUAAUAAUGUAUUUUAUUGAUAUUUUAAUAAAAAUUUAAUUAAUUUAUAAAAAUAUAAUUUUUAAUAAAAAAAAUUUUGAUUUAAUGAUAUAAUUAGUAUAUUUUAUUAUAAAUUUAAUUAAAAAUUAAAGAUUAAAAUAAGGAAUUCAGCAAAAUUUUAUACUCGCCUGUUUAUCAAAAACAUGUCUUUUUGAAAUUAAUAUAAAGUCUAAUCUGCCCACUGAUUAAUAAUUAAAGGGCCGCAGUAUUUUGACUGUGCAAAGGUAGCAUAAUCAUUAGUCUUUUAAUUGAGGUCUAGUAUGAAUGAUUGAACGUAGUAUAAACUGUCUCAUUUUAAUUAAUAGUAGAAAUUAAUUUUUAAGUUAAAAAGCUUAAAUUUAAUUAAAAGACGAGAAGACCCUAUAGAACUUUAUAUUAAUAAUUUUAAUAAAUUUAUUAAAUUUAUAAUAAUUAUUAAUUUAUUAGUAUUUUGUUGGGGUGACAAUAUAAUUUAGUAAACUUAUAUAUAUAUAUAUACACAUUAAUGAAUGUUUUAUUUAAAGAUCUUAUAAUAUAAAUUAUUAAAAUAAGUUACCUUAGGGAUAACAGCGUAAUUUUUUUUUAGAGUUCAUAUUAACAAAAUAGAUUACGACCUCGAUGUUGGAUUAAGAUAAAUAUUUAGGUGUAGGGGCUUAAAUGUAUUUGGUCUGUUCGACCAUUAAAUUCUUACAUGAUCUGAGUUAAAAUCGGUGUAAGCCAGAUUGGUUUCUAUCUUUAAUAUAAAAAUUAUAUUUUAGUACGAAAGGAUUAAAUAUAAAAAAUAAUUUUUAUUAAUUAAUGAAUUUUAUUAAUAUUUAUAAUAUUUAUAACAAUAAUA
This 1359-nucleotide ribosomal RNA is filed under the name Chinolyda flagellicornis. RNAcentral's name for it is "16S ribosomal RNA". The record is from RNAcentral. Lineage: Eukaryota; Metazoa; Arthropoda; Insecta; Hymenoptera; Pamphiliidae.